UCGCCCCUACUGCUGCUACUCCACUUCCUCAAAUCUUGCUGCUGCCUCUCUAAAUCCUGCUUGCUGCCGCUCUCUACUGCUUCUACUACAUCUCCUUGCACUCCUGCUUCUUCUUGUUUUCUGAAUCCCCAAACGCUGAUGCUACUCCCUCGCCCCGCGAACCUAUUGCUGCACCUUCUCCUUAACUCUCUCUGAACCCCCCUACUCCUCUUCACCUACAACUCUCCCUCAUUCUCUAAUUUCUGUAAUUUUGAGUAGGGUAAUGAUCAAUACUAUGUAGUGUUCAAUUUUGUUAAGUGUAGUAUCCUACUGUUUGGUUCAGUUUCGAAGUUGUAUUAUAUAAUGUUUGAUUUGUAUGUCCUCACUAGUUGAUACCUUGUCACUUUGAGAAGUACUUCAUCUGUCAUACUUUGCUUAGUGAAAUAAUAAUCUGCAUAUGUAUGUGUUGUCCUGUGAUGUAUAAAUAUGUGUGUGCUUGUGAUGGGAAAAAUCUAGCCUCUGUCAUAUUAUCUUGUUUCUUCUCUCUGUACUUGUUUUGUCAUGUGACUUUCCUUUCGUGUAAGUUUCUAUUGUCUCUAUUAGUAUGAAAAUACCAAAAAGACAGUAAGUAAAUUCUUAGUCUCCCUGUGCUUAUUUUUGCAUUUUCAUUGUCGACGAUCUUUGGGAACGACCUUGUUAGUUUAGGUCUAUAUUUCCUUGCAAUCAUCAUCUGAAUUCUGUCACCUAGCUUUAGCCAAGCAUUGUUGCCGUCGCCUAGUCCCUGUGGAGAACACGGCACUCGCAGUUCGGGCGAAAUAUCCCACUGUACUUACAUUUGAUCAUUUUGGUGCCGUUGCCGGGGAGUAGCGUCGAACGAUUGUGUGAAGCUAUAGACUAGGCUUAGUAUAGUUUUUCUUUAAAUUUCCAUUCAAAUUUAUUUCUAUGCUUCUUUUACCUUUUUACUUUUGUUGCUUCGGCUUAUUAGGAUACUAACUUUCUGACUAGUGUUUACUGUUUAUGAGUGUGUGUUGGAAAUCUAAACUAAUUGCAGGUUGUUCUAUAGUUACACUCGGUUAAGAUGGCAUUGCUUCGUGAUCUUUGGAUGCCCAAAAGCCAGUGCUAUAUCACAGGACCGGUUUGGCCAACUAUUGAGGCAGAGAACUUCGACCUAAAACCUAGUAUUAUUGCUUUGGUUCAACAACAUCAGUUUGGAGGACUGCCUACUGAGGAUCCCUAUGAGCACCAACACCGAGUCAUGGAGUAUUCAGGUACAGUCAAGUACCAUGGAGUUCCUCAAGAUGCUAUCAAGUGCAUGUUGUACACAUUCUCUCUCCGAGAUGAUGCUCGUGCUUGGUAUCGAUCCUUGCCAUCAAGAUCAUUCAGUUGGAACAAGAUAUCACAAGAUUUCUUGGAUAAAUAUUUCCCACUACACAAGCAGUCCGCAAUUCGAGAUGAGAUCUUCAGCUUCGUUCAGCGUGAAGGCGAGAGUUUGUAUGAUGUUUGGGAGAGAUACAAGGCUUUAUUCAGGAGAUGUCCUAACCACGGGCUCGAGAGAUGGUUAGAGUUGUAGAUAUUCUAUAGAGGAUUGACUUCGGACACUCGAUCUUACGUCGAUAUGGCAGCGGGUGGAGAUAUUACAAACAAGACACUUGAUGAUGCUUUUUUGCUGAUUGAGAGCAUAGCUUUCCACCAACUUCAGUGGUAUAGUGAGAGACCCAGCUCAGAUUUGUUGGUUUGCUGUCACCACACUUCAACUCAGCAAGAAUGUCUUACACAAAAGCCAGAACCAGUUUCUCUGUGUGACAAGAUUGAGCUUUCAUGGAUUAUCUUUGAUGAUGAUGACACCAGCCUAGUUGACACACACACUGCAGAUCAUAUGGAUAUUAGCAUUCGAGAUUCAGUUUUGCAUUGUGAUGAUUCUUCCGUGGAUGAACCAGAGCUGCAGUUAGUUGCUUUUGAUAUUGAGAAGUCACCUUUAGUUCAUAUUGAUCAUUUGCUGGUAGAGCCAGAUAUGGAGAAGUUCUCCUUCGAUGAUGUCAGCUGCAUUGAUUCCUCAACACUUGAGCCUGAGAUGGAGAGCUUCAUGGUUGAUUAUGAUGAGGUGGAUUCAGAUGUCAAGGAGCCAAGCUCUACUAUUUCACUUGUUGACACGAGUCCGGUGGAAAUUUCGACAACCACACCUCACUUGAUAUCUUCAAUUGAGGUAGUCCUGAAGCUUCUUCCUAACUAUCUCAGGUAUGAUCUCAGCUUUCUCGACAAGAUAUGCCAUAUCAUGGAUACUGCCUAUGCACCGUGCGAUCUAUUGAUGAUAUCUAUUUAUCAUAUGCUCCAUAGAUAUGCUUAUGUGAUAGGAUACUCUAUUGAUGACUUAGAGGGCAUUGUCCCUAUCAUUUGUAUUGGCUUGUUUGUUGAGUGUUCUUUCAGGUUUACGCUUGUGCACCAUUCAUUGUGGGCUGACCAAGUUCGAGAUGACAUCCCAUGGGAUCCUGGUGGACCCAAAGCAUGGCGAUGAGGAGAAGCAAUGGGGCACACACGAAGAAGAGUGAAGCUGGAGCAUCCAUGAGGAAGCAAAGGAGAAUAGCUGCGGUUGGUGAGAUGAUCGAGCGAGUGCUACACCAUCAAAGCCCAGUGAGCUAUUUCAUGACCCAUUUCGAAUAUAUCAUCCAUUGAUACAUGCUGAAAUCAACUGCUAUUUUGGUUGCUUGAGUCAUUUCUUAAAUAUCGUCCCACUGAAUUUUACCUUCGACAUAGGGUGAUUGAUGUGAAUAUGUGAAUUGAGUGUUGAAUGCCUUGUAAACUAGUGACCUAUACAAUGCUUGCUUUGCUGAAAGUAGUGGAAGCUAUUAGUUUUGAGUGCUCAAAUCCCUAGUACACUAGAAAACUUAAUCAUUUUUUGCUUUUACCUUGAUACACCUAGAUCAUCAAGUGUUAGAUGCUGAAUUUGUGCCAAGUGUGUUCCCAUUUAGAGCAAUCACUUAACCACUAUGGAUUAGCAUGCUAUGUUCUCUGGAUCGGUAGCAUGUGAACCAGAAAUGGAUGAGUGAUGAUUCUUGUUUCCUUAUGUUUCAUGCCAUUGUAAUUCCUUUGUUCAAUAUGUAAUAAUAAAUAAGUCUGACUACCUAUAGUAGCAUGUCAUGUUCCCUGGAUCGGUGGCAUGUGAAAUCGGAUUAGCUUGGGCAGUAAUUAAUAAUAAACAUGUAAUUGUCGAACCAGGUGUAUACCAUUUUCUCGGGAUCGGUGGUAUGUUCCUUUGGGGAGACAAACAAAAACAAAAACUAAUAAUUGGUCGAGCCAGGUGUAUACCAUGUUCUCGGGAUCGGUGGUAUGUUCCUAUGGUGAGACUAAUAAUAAUAUAAUCAUUUCUUUAUCUCUGUAAAUAAGUGAUUUGAUCACAAGAUUUAAUUCCAGUUCUUUUUGUUCUAGGGAUCAUGCUCUCUUUAGGAAGGAUUUGGCACAGUCAUCAUUUAAACUUGUUGAUCUUCUUUUAUGAUUGUAGAAGUUUUAAAUGAUUGAGUCUACUAGUAUCCUACUACUUUGUAACACUCUUAACCAUUAAUUUUCACUAGCAAAGACCAAAAGCAUGCAUUGUUUGGAGAUCUAUUUUACCAGGACAAUCUUUACUCAGCUCACUGUUCACAUUCUUCCUCUUAUCACAUGCCUUUGCUUGAGGACAAGCAAAGAUUUAUGUGUGGGGGAACUUGAUAAGCACAUUUCAUAUACAUCUUUUGGCACUUAAAUAUGCGGUUUAUUGAGAUAUGACCAUCAAUUCUUGCUGUGAAAUAUUGAAUACUUGCAUGAAAAUCAUAUAAAGAAUCAUUUACAAGUCAUUUGUUUCUUUUGCAGAAAAGUGCGCAAAGGCACUAUAAACUUCCAAGAUCUGGACUAGGUGGCUAAGAGAAUUAGUCAAGUGAAAAGAAGAGAAGGAGGAAUGGACUUGUGUGUGAUGAUAAGAAGUAACCAGAGGGCUAGCCAAAGAAGGGAGGGACCAACUUGGGAAGAAAGAAGAGAAGUAGGAGGGCAAAAUUGCAAAGUGGCAGAUAAAUCGUGACGGAUCAAAAUCCCUAGCACAGCCACCGAUCCCCUUCGGGCCUGGCACUUCUCUCUCCCUCCCCUGCCUUCUUCUCCAUCUCAGGCCGCCACCACGGCCAGGCCGGCGUGGUUGGUGCGCCACCAGCACCCAGCGCCACCCAUCCACCAUCUUCGCCGCCGCGCCACCGCACCAGUAGCCUCCAUCACCCCUAUCCACCGCAACAUCCAUCCAUUUCAGCCGCCGCCGCGCCUAGAUCCUUCCCCCUGCUGCCCGCUUCUCUCUUCUUCUCUCCAAUCUUCUUCUCCUAACCCUUCUGCUCCUCCUUCCCUCGUCCUUGCUGCUGCACUCUCCCUCUCCUAGCGCUGCUGCUCCUCUCCCCUCGCCCCUACUGCUGCUACUCCACUUCCUCAAAUCUUGCUGCUGCCUCUCUGAAUCCUGCUUGCUGCCGCUCUCUACUGCUUCUACUCCAUCUCCUUGCACUCCUGCUUCUUCUUGUUUUCUGAAUCCCCAAACGCUGAUGCUACUCCCUCGCCCCGCGAACCUAUUGCUGCACCUUCCCCUUAACUCUCUCUGAACCCCCCUACUCCUCUUCACCUACAACUCUCCCUCAUUCUCUAAUUUCUGUAAUUUUGAGUAGGGUAAUGAUCAAUACUAUGUAAUGUUCAGUUUUGUUUAGUGUAGUAUCCUACUGUUUGGUUCAGUUUCGAAAUUGUAUUAUAUAAUGUUUGAUUUGUAUGUCCUCACUAGUUGAUACCUUGUCACUUUGAGAAGUACUUCAUCUGUCAUACUUUGCUUAGUGAAAUAAUAAUCUGCAUAUGUAUGUGUUGUCCUGUGAUGUAUAAAUAUGUGUGUGUUUGUGAUGGGAAAAAUCUAGCCUCUGUCAUAUUAUCUUGUUUCUUCUCUCUGUACUUGUUUUGUCAUGUGACUUUCCUUUCGUGUAAGUUUCUAUUGUCUCUAUUAGCAUGAAAAUACCAAAAAGACAGUAAGUAAAAUCUUAGUCUCCCUGUGCUUAUUUUUGCAUUUUCUUUGUCGACGAUCUUUGGGAACGACCUUGUUAGUUUAGGUCUAUAUUUCCUUGCAAUCAUCAUCUGAAUUCUGUCACCUAGCUUUAGCCAAGCAUUGUUGCCGUCGCCUAGUCCCUGUGGAGAACACGGCACUCGCAGUUCGGGCGAAAUAUCCCACUGUACUUACAUUUGAUCAUUUUGGUGCCGUUGCCGGGGAGUAGCGUCGAACGAUUGUGUGAAGCUAUAGACUAGGCUUAGUAUAGUUUUUCUUUAAAUUUCCAUUCAAAUUUAUUUCUAUGCUUCUUUUACCUUUUUACUUUUGUUGCUUCGGCUUAUUAGGAUACUAACUUUCUGACUAGUGUUUACUGUUUAUGAGUGUGUGUUGGAAAUCUAAACUAAUUGCAGGUUGUUCUAUAGUUACACUCGGUUAAGAUGGCAUUGCUUCAUGAUCUUUGGAUGCCCAAAAGUCAGUGCUAUAUCACAGGACCGGUUUGGCCAACUAUUGAGGCAGAGAACUUCGACCUAAAACCUAUUAUUAUUGCUUUGGUUCAACAACAUCAGUUUGGAGGACUGCCUACUGAGGAUCCCUAUGAGCACCUACACCGAGUCAUGGAGUAUUCAGGUACAGUCAAGUACCAUGGAGUUCCUCAAGAUGCUAUCAAGUGCAUGCUGUACACAUUCUCUCUCCGAGAUGAUGCUCGUGCUUGGUAUCGAUCCUUGCCAUCAAGAUCAUUCAGUUGGAACAAGAUAUCACAAGAUUUCUUGGAUAAAUAUUUCCCACUACAGAAGCAGUCCGCAAUUCGAGAUGAGAUCUUCAGUUUCGUUCAGCGUGAAGGCGAGAGCUUGUAGGAUGCUUGGGAGAGAUACAAGGCUUUAUUCAGGAGAUGUCCUAACCACGGGCUCGAGAGAUGGUUAGAGUUUUAGAUAUUCUAUAGAGGAUUGACUUCGUACACUCGAUCUUACGUUGAUAUGGCAGCGGGUGGAGCUAUUACAAACAAGACACUUGAUGAUGCUUUUUUGCUGAUUGAGAGCAUAGCUUUCCACCAACUUCAGUGGUAUAGUGAGAGACCCAUCUCAGAUUUGUUGGUUUGCUGUCACCACACUUCAACUCAGCAAGAAUGUCUUACACAAAAGCCAGAACCAGUUUCUCUGUGUGACAAGAUUGAGCUUUCAUGGAUUAUCUUUGAUGAUGAUGACACCAGCCUAGUUGACACACACACUGCAGAUCAUAUGGAUAUUAGCAUUCGAGAUUCAGUUUUGCAUUGUGAUGAUUCUUCCGUGGAUGAACCAGAGCUGCAGUUAGUUGCUUUUGAUAUUGAGAAGUCACCUUUAGUUCAUAUUGAUCAUGUGCUGGUAGAGCCAGAUAUGGAGAAGUUCUCCUUCGAUGAUGUCAGCUGCAUUGAUUCCUCAACACUUGAGCCUGAGAUGGAGAGCUUCAUGGUUGAUUAUGAUGAGGUGGAUUCAGAUGUCAAGGAGCCAAGCUCUACUAUUUUCACUUGUUGACACGAUUCCGAUGGAAAUUUCUACAACCACACCUCACUUGAUAUCUUCAAUUGAGGUAGUCCUGAAGCUUCUUCCUAACUAUCUCAGGUAUGAUCUCAGCUUUCUCGACAAGAUAUGCCAUAUCAUGGAUACUGCCUAUGCACCGUGCGAUUUAUUGAUGCUAUCUAUUUAUCAUAUGCUCCAUAGAUAUGCUUAUGUGAUAGGAUACUCUAUUGAUGACUUAGAGGGCAUUGUCCCUACCAUUUGUAUUGGCUUGUUUGUUGAGUGUUCUUUCAGGUUUACGCUUGUGCACCAUUCAUUGUGGGCUGACCAAGUUCGAGAUGACAUCCCAUGGGAUCCUGGUGGACCCAAAGCAUGGCGAUGAGGAGAAGCAAUGGGGCACACACGAAGAAGAGUGAAGCUGGAGAAUCCAUGAGGAAGCAAAGGAGAAGAGCUGCAGUUGGUGAGAUGAUCGAGCGAGUGCUACACCAUCAAAGCCCGGUGAGCUGUUUCAUGACCCAUUUCGAAUAUAUCAUCCAUUGAUACAUGCUGAAAUCAAUUGCUAUUUGGGUUGCUUGAGUCAUUUCUUAAAUAUCGUCCCACUGAAUUUUACCUUCGACAUAGGGUGAUUGAUGUGAAUAUGUGAAUUGAGUGUUGAAUGCCUUGUAAACUAGUGACCUAUACAAUGCUUGCUUUGCUGAAAGUAGUGGAAGCUAUUAGUUUUGAGUGCUCAAAUCCCUAGUACACUAGAAAACUUAAUCAUUUUUUGCUUUUACCUUGAUACACCUAGAUCAUCAAGUGUUAGAUGCUGAAUUUGUGCCAAGUGUGUUCCCAUUUAGAGCAAUCACUUAACCACUAUGGAUUAGCAUGCUAUGUUCUCUGGAUCGGUAGCAUGUGAACCAGAAAUGGAUGAGUGAUGAUUCUUGUUUCCUUAUGUUUCAUGCCAUUGUAAUUCCUUUGUUCAAUAUGUAAUAAUAAAUAAGUCUGACUACCUAUAGUAGCAUGUCAUGUUCCCUGGAUCGGUGGCAUGUGAAAUCGGGUUAGCUUGGGCAGUAAUUAAUAAUAAACAUGUAAUUGUCGAACCAGGUGUAUACCAUGUUCUCGGGAUCGGUGGUAUGUUCCUUUGGGGAGACAAACAAAAACAAAAACUAAUAAUUGGUCGAGCCAGGUGUAUACCAUGUUCUCCGGAUCGGUGGUAUGUUCCUAUGGUGAGACUAAUAAUAAUACAAUCAUUUCUUUAUCUCUGUAAAUAAGUGAUUUGAUCACAAGAUUUAAUUCCAGUUCUUUUUGUUCUCGGGAUCAUGCUCUCUUUAGGAACCAUUUGGCACAGUCAUCAUUUAAACUUGUUGAUCUUCUUUUAUGAUUGUAGAAGUUUUAAAUGAUUGAGUCUACUAGUAUCCUACUACUUUGUAACACUCUUAACCAUUCAUUUUCACUAGCAAAGACCAAAAGCAUGCAUUUUUUGGAGAUCUAUUUUACCAGGACAUUCUUUACUCAGCUCACUGUUCACAUUCUUGCUCUUGUCACAUGCCUUUGCUUGAGGACAAGCAAAGAUUUAAGUGUGGGGGAACUUGAUAAGCACAUUUCAUAUACAUCUUUUGGCACUUAAAUAUGUGGCUUAUUGAGAUAUGACCAUCAAUUCUUGCUGUGAAAUAUUGAAUACUUGUAUGAAAAUCAUAUAAAGAAUCAUUUACAAGUCAUUUGUUUCUUUUGCAGAAAGGUGCGCAAAGGCACUAUAAACUUCCAAGAUCUGGACUAGGUGGCUAAGAGAAUUAGUCAAGUGAAAAGAAGAGAAGGAAGAAAGGACUUGUGUGUGAUGAUAAGAGCUAACAAGAGGGGCUAGCCAAAGAAGAGAGGGACCAACUUGGGAAGAAAGAAGAGAAGUAGGAGGGCAAAAUUGCAAAGUGGCAAAUCAGAUCGUGAGGGAUGAAAAUCCCUAGCACAACCACCGAUCCCCUUCAGGCCUGGCACUUCUCUCUCCCUCCCCUGCCUUCUUCUCCAUCUCAGGCCGCCGCCACGGCCAGGCCGGCGUGGUAGGUGCGUCACCAGCACCCAGCGCCACCCACCCACCAUCUUCGCCGCCGCGCCACCGCACCAGCAGCCUCCAUCACCCCCAUCCACCGCAACAUCCAUCCAUUUCAGCUGCCGCCGCGCCUAGAUCCUUCCCCCUGCUGCCCGCUUCUCUCUUCUUCUCUCCAAUCUUCUUCUCUUAACCCUUCUGCUCCUCCUUCCCUCGUCCUUGCUGCUGCUCUCUCCCUCUCAUAGCGCUGCUGCUCCUCUCCCCUCGCCCCUACUGCUGCUACUCCACUUCCUCAUCAAAUCUUGCUGCUGCUUCUCUGAAUCCUUCUUGCUGCCGCUCUCUACUGCUUCUACUCCAUCUCCUUGCACUCCUGCUUCUUCUUGUUUUCUGAAUCCCCAGACGCUGAUGCUACUCUCUCGCCCCGCGAACCUAUUACUGCACCUUCUCCUUAACUCUCUCUGAACCCCCUACUCCUCUUCACCUACAACUCUCUCUCAUUCUCUAAUUUCUGUAAUUUUGAGUAGUGUAAUGAUCAAUACUAUGUAAUGUUCAAUUUUGUUAAGUGUAGUAUCCUACUGUUUGGUUCAGUUUCGGAGUUAUAUUAUAUAAUGUUUGAUUUGUAUGUCCUCACUAGUUGAUACCUUGUCACUUUGAGAAGUACUUCAUCUGUCAUACUUUGCUUAGUGAAAUAAUAAUCUGCAUAUGUAUGUGUUGUCCUGUGAUGUAUAAAUAUGUGUGUGUUUGUGAUGGGCAAAAUCUAGCCUCUGUCAUAUUAUCUUGUUUCUUCUCUCUGUACUUGUUUUGUCAUGUGACUUUCCUUUCGUGUAAGUUUCUAUUGUCUCUAUUAGUAUGAAAAUACCAAAAAGACAGUAAGUAAAAUCUUAGUCUCCCUGUGCUUAUUUUUGCAUUUUCUUUGUCGACGAUCUUUGGGAACGACCUUGUUAGUUUAGGUCUAUAUUUCCUUGCAAUCAUCAUCUGAAUUCUAUCACCUAGCUUUAGCCGAGCAGUGUUGCCAUCGCCUAGUCCCUGUGGAGAACACGACACUCGCAGUUCGGGCGAAAUAUC
RNAcentral lists this long non-coding RNA (9580 nucleotides) under Triticum aestivum (bread wheat). RNAcentral describes it as "long non-coding RNA (TAES_LNC017946)". Lineage: Eukaryota; Viridiplantae; Streptophyta; Magnoliopsida; Poales; Poaceae. The record is from RNAcentral.